This 997-nucleotide long non-coding RNA is filed under the name Solanum tuberosum (potato). RNAcentral describes it as "long non-coding RNA (STUB_LNC001842)". Lineage: Eukaryota; Viridiplantae; Streptophyta; Magnoliopsida; Solanales; Solanaceae. The record is from RNAcentral.
GAAAAUGAGUUAAAAUUCUCUAUAGCGUAGAACAUGAUUUAAGAUUUCACAAUAAAACUAACAGCAGCCUCUUGGAGGUGUGGUUCCAUAGUUGUUUUCUUUAAUAGUUUGUUUGCAAGUUUUCACAUAUUAGUAUGUAUACGCCUAAAUUUGUAAGCAUACCAGUGAAAAAUCAUGAAAUUUUUCUAAUAAACUUGUACCAGAUAAUCAACAUGGCAUAAGAAAACUUGUGUUUUCUGCAAUUGCUAGGUGUAGUAACAUUGCACGGAUACCAUAGUCAUAAAAUUUGGUUAGUUGACAUGAGAGGGGCUAGUUUGUAAAGGCCUUUGUGUGUGAGUUAGUGACUGUUAUGGAAAGGUUUAGUGUUAAAGCAGUAGUUUUUAGUUACUAAACUUAUUUCUAAAUUCUGGUGCAUAUACGUUUCUUUAGAACUCCACUAGUGAUUACUUCAUCGUCCAGCUCUAGAACUAGCUCAUGACCUUCUUGAUCACAACUUACACCUGGCUAGAGGCAACAAUUGAUGUUUAGAUCCUAUCUAACCAGUUUGGUUGAUUUAGAAGAAUCGAAUGUAAAGUUGUUGAGUGUCUUUUGGUAAGUAGUUUACAAUAUAGUGUAUGAUCACCUGUAUCUUGUCACGCCAGUUUCCUAGGAAGGGAAUACUUAAACUAUUUGUUUUGAUAGAACACAUUUCAUCUUUGGUUUCAGUGUGUGAGCACUACCACAAAUUUGCAAUUUGUCAGCUUGAAGGUCCAAUUGAAGGUGAGACCGGGAAGGCUCAUAGAGCAAAUUUUCGUGACUGUGAUGGGAGAACUAUUCUUAUCUUGAGAGUGGGAAUGCAUGUGAUUUAAAACACCAACUCUAAGUAUUUAAAAUAUGUAUUUCAAUAAUUACUGAAAGAAAUUCUUGAAUGAUUUUUCAUAGUUUGAAAGUCUCUAGUUUCCUCCCAGGUAAGUUUUCUUCCAUUACCGCUAACUUCCAGACUGUAGCUAUGCUUUCA